Molecule: unclassified non-coding RNA, 277 nt
Filed under: Hevea brasiliensis (rubber tree)
Lineage: Eukaryota; Viridiplantae; Streptophyta; Magnoliopsida; Malpighiales; Euphorbiaceae
Source: RNAcentral
CUGCCUUUAUCAAGAGCAAGACUUCUAUUGAAGACACAGCCCUGAUCACCCUUCACGAAAUCUGUAGCAUUUUUUGCCUCCACUCCCAUGACAUCCACUUUCACUUCUUGAGGUUCUGACACAAGUUGCUGAAUGGACUCAUCAUCAGGGUUAACUACAUUAACAAAGGUAUUGUUAAAACUCUUGACUUUUUCACUCAUCUGUUGCUUUAUCAGGACAGCAUCAACCUUCAGUUCUCCUAUAUCUGGCAAAAUGUUAUCAGCUUGAUUCAACUCAC